GGGGAAUAUUGCACAAUGGAGGAAACUCUGAUGCAGCGACGCCGCGUGAGCGAUGAAGGUCUUCGGAUCGUAAAGCUCUGUCCUAAGGGAAGAUAGUGACGGUACCUUAGGAGGAAGCCCCGGCUAACUACGUGCCAGCAGCCGCGGUAACACGUAGGGGGCGAGCGUUGUCCGGAAUUACUGGGUGUAAAGGGUGCGUAGGCGGCCUUGCAAGUCAGAUGUGAAAGAUCACGGCUUAACUGUGGUAAGCAUUUGAAACUGUAAGGCUUGAGUGCAGGAGAGGAGAGUGGAAUUCCUAGUGUAGCGGUGAAAUGCGUAGAUAUUAGGAAGAAUAUCAGUGGCGAAGGCGGCUCUCUGGACUGCAACUGACGCUGAGGCACGAAAGCGUGGGGAGCAAAC
This 399-nucleotide ribosomal RNA is filed under the name uncultured bacterium. RNAcentral describes it as "bacterial SSU rRNA". It matches the Rfam family "Bacterial small subunit ribosomal RNA", at positions 356 to 773 of the family's 1533-position model. The record is from RNAcentral.